UACGGAAGGCAGCAGUGGGGAAUAUUGCACAAUGGGCGAAAGCCUGAUGCAGCUAUGCCGCGUGUAUGAAGAAGGCCUUAGGGUUGUAAAGUACUUUCAUCGGGGAGGAAAAACAAAACUAAUAAUUUUAUUUCUUGACGUUACCCGAAAAAGAAGCACCGGCUAACUCCGUGCCAGCAGCCGCGGUAAUACGGAGGGUGCUAGCGUUAAUCAGAAUUACUGGGCGUAAAGAGCACGUAGGUGGUUUUUUAAAGUCAGAUGUGAAAUCCCUGGGCUUAACCUAGGAACUGCAUUUUGAAACUGAAAUACUAGAGUAUCGUAGAGGGAGGUAGAAUUCUAGGUGUAGCGGUGAAAUGCGUAGAUAUCUGGAGGAAUACCUGUGGCGAAAGCGGCCUCCUAAACGAAUACUGACACUGAGGGUGCGAAAGCGUGGGGAGCAAACAGGGAUUUAGAUACC
This 457-nucleotide ribosomal RNA is filed under the name uncultured bacterium. RNAcentral's name for it is "bacterial SSU rRNA". It matches the Rfam family "Bacterial small subunit ribosomal RNA", at positions 340 to 786 of the family's 1533-position model. The record is from RNAcentral.